Molecule: ribosomal RNA, 709 nt
Filed under: uncultured Bacteroidales bacterium
Lineage: Bacteria; Pseudomonadati; Bacteroidota; Bacteroidia; Bacteroidales
Description: bacterial SSU rRNA
Rfam family: Bacterial small subunit ribosomal RNA
Source: RNAcentral
UUGUAGCAAUACAGAUUGAUGGCGACCGGCGCACGGGUGAGUAACGCGUAUGCAACUUACCUAUCAGAGGGGGAUAGCCCGGCGAAAGUCGGAUUAAUACCCCAUAAAACAGGGGUCCCGCAUGGGAACAUUUGUUAAAGAUUCACCGCUGAUAGAUAGGCAUGCGUUCCAUUAGGCAGUUGGCGGGGUAACGGCCCACCAAACCGACGAUGGAUAGGGGUUCUGAGAGGAAGGUCCCCCACAUUGGUACUGAGACACGGACCAAACUCCUACGGGAGGCAGCAGUGAGGAAUAUUGGUCAAUGGCCGAGAGGCUGAACCAGCCAAGUCGCGUGAAGGAAGAAGGAUCUAUGGUUUGUAAACUUCUUUUAUAGGGGAAUAAAGUGGAGGACGUGUCCUUUUUUGUAUGUACCCUAUGAAUAAGCAUCGGCUAACUCCGUGCCAGCAGCCGCGGUAAUACGGAGGAUGCGAGCGUUAUCCGGAUUUAUUGGGUUUAAAGGGUGCGUAGGUGGUGAUUUAAGUCAGCGGUGAAAGUUUGUGGCUCAACCAUAAAAUUGCCGUUGAAACUGGGUUACUUGAGUGUGUUUGAGGUAGGCGGAAUGCGUGGUGUAGCGGUGAAAUGCAUAGAUAUCACGCAGAACUCCGAUUGCGACGGCAGCUUACUAAACCAUAACUGACACUGAAGCACGAAAGCGUGGGGAUCAAACAGG